This is a non-coding RNA of Megalopta genalis, 1009 nucleotides long. NCBI's taxonomy places the organism in Eukaryota, Metazoa, Arthropoda, Insecta, Hymenoptera, Halictidae. The record is from RefSeq and is a predicted model, not a curated record.
CGAAGCCAUUUUAGUGAAAAGAUCAUAUUCACAUUUCUCCGGCAUUUCACGGACAAUCAAGGAUAUGACUGUUUUUAGCUAUUCGGACGUUGAUGUGUUAAGAGGAAGAGGAAAUGAACAAUUAAUUCGAUACGCUUGAAAACAAGAUAUCGAGUUCUAAUAAAGGAAAUGACGUUUUAGAAAUGUUCAAAAUAUAUUCACAAAUUUGUGUGUCUCAAUAGCAUCGCCAGUUCUUGUGCGAAGUUUGAAAACUGAACAGAGUCCGUGUGACCCAGUACGACAUACACGAUUUACACACAAAGUCCGGCAGAUUCGUAUUUUGGGAGUUCUACGAGGAUCGUCCAUUGGAUAUUACAAGAUAGUAAUCGCGUCUUCUCCGCGCGAAAUCCUCCUCUAUCCAGACGAUUCUCCGAAGAUCACACGAGUCGGAGUUUCCCUGCUCGGAAAAACCGCAGGAUCGGCUUCGUAAAUUCCGACUCUGGAUCUUCUUCGGGAACCGACUACUCGGAGGGUAGUUGGAGCGUGUCGCGGCGGGGGCGGCCGGGGGAGAUCGGCCGGGGGAUGAUCUUCCGAAAAGUCAGAUGAAUUUUCAAGCCUCGAGGCGGGCGAAAGGCAAGGGAAGGGAUUCCGAGAGGCAGCGGUGCACAAAUCGUUAGCGAGAGGACGGUUUUCGGAAAAGGGGUUGCUUCUACCACCUCCCGCGCCCUCCUCUUUCUUCGUUUCCGCGUGCAAGCGAGCGUGCGGAUCCGCGCGAACGCGUUCCUGCAGUUCUGCCGCGUCGACCCGCAGCCACCGAUUCGUCGCCGGCCAACUGGGGCGUUUAAACGAUCGACAGUACCUGUUUCUGGUGUCUUUUGUACAGGACCUACCAUUUGACCUGGCCAGAUUAUGAAGGGCGUCCAUUUUUAGCGUUACCUUUAAAUUUCGCGCCGUUUGAACUUUUUGUACGAGAUCGACGGAUAUUAUUUGACAUUUUACAAGCAGAAGUAUAGAGAGAUAUUUGAUUCAA